AGCUGUGCUCGAUUUGCACUAAGCGGCCAAUUUCAAAUCGAGGUCACCCACACUAAGCGGCCAUAGAUCGUUGCAAGUGCACUUGACGGUUAUUUCAUAUUUUCCGUAUUUUGCACCAAAUUGUUAGUCUUCCAUCAUGCAUUACUACCUAUUUGUCGCCUGUGUUGAGCAGUCAAUCCUCACAAGAAAAUACACUUGAAAGAGAGAGAAGCAGCCCAGGCGCCGCAGCAGAGUUCCUCAGAUGAAUCUUAGUCAUCAUCAUCAUUCCUCUUCGUCCCGUGUGGGAAUUAAGGCCACAGUCACUUCUUUCCAGCGUAGUGUCGUAGUCAAAGAUAUGCUGCAAAUCUUGCGACUCACAGAGCGUCAUCUAUUUGAUAUGAUGUUAACAAUGCCAUCAAAUGUAUGUCGGGGAAACGAGGCAGAAAUUAAAAGACAGAAUCAGACACCACCGCUGCCCUAUAAACAACAAAAACCUCUUCGUGCCUGUGGGACAACACAACACUCAGCUAAAGGCAUCACCGUCACCGUCUUAAAAGGAAACGACACUAGGCAAAGACAGAUCGUCGUACAGAAAUGUAUAAGAACACUAGACACCUUGAAUAAUGGACUC
Molecule: long non-coding RNA, 610 nt
Organism: Lingula anatina
Lineage: Eukaryota; Metazoa; Brachiopoda; Lingulata; Lingulida; Lingulidae
Source: RefSeq, a predicted model, not a curated record